GCGCUCUUGCCUUCGGGGGCGGGUCGCUGGGCCCUGCGGUGGACCGUCCGGUCUUUGCAGAGCAGGUUGUCAGAGUACAAGUCUUCGAAGAAUAUGGAGAGUUGCUCCCUUAAUAAAUUGUGGAUCUCGGAUGGAAAGAAUACUUUUGGAGAAAGGGUUAGGUGUAUGAAAGACAGAGAAUAUGAAACUUCCCUCACCCAACUGUGAACAUGAAGUGGCUUUCCACAGAUCUCUUUUCAGAGGGUGUCCCAUUUUUAACC
Molecule: long non-coding RNA, 260 nt
Organism: Myotis brandtii (Brandt's bat)
Lineage: Eukaryota; Metazoa; Chordata; Mammalia; Chiroptera; Vespertilionidae
Exons: 4
Source: RefSeq, a predicted model, not a curated record